GUGCAGGUUAGUUACAUAUGUAUACAUGUGCCAUGCUGGAAGAACUUUCCUGACCCUAAGAUUCAGUUUUGCUAUAUGUUCAUGUGCUUUCUCAUGUUCUAAGGUCAAAACAUCAAUGAAAAUAUAAUGUCUUACAAGCAAGGCAGGUCUUAUUAAGCCGACAAUGCAUAGGCAAGCCUUGGUGCAGAGGGUACAUUUUCUUACCAAGUAUAGGGCAUGUAUAAAAAUUACUGAGGGUUAAUCUGACUUGGCCUUCCCAAUUAAGCCUGCCUGGAGGCCUGAGCAAACCAGAAUGUCCCAGACACUAGACUUGGCCUGGGUUGAAUGUGACUAUCUGCUGGGUUGCCCUGAGAGGAGUCCAGGCUCUAGACUGGCCCUCCCUCUUUGUUCUGUAGUGAAUUUAAAGGGGAUUUAGGUUCUGCAUCAGAAAGACUCCACCCCAGCUCUAAGUCAAUGCCUGCCUCUUCUGGAGAAGUGGUUCUCAAAGUUCAGCAUCAGCAGAAUCACCUGGGGAGGGGCUUGUUAACACCCAGAUUGCUGGACCCCGGCCCCGGGGUUUCUGAUUCAGUCGGUCUAGGGUGGGGCAUGGGUAACUGCAUUUCUAAGACGGUGCUGGUGCUGCUGCUCUUAGGACCAUGUGUUGAGAAGCAAUGUUUGGGAGAAACCAUCAUAUAUUCUGGUAUCUAAAUUGACCCUUUAAAUAUGCCAAAAAGACAGGCAGUUUUGUGAGCUGUUUUUGAUGGAAGCUGGAAUGGAGAUACUUUAAAAAAGAUAGUAGUAGUGGGUGUUAACUUUAAAAAUAGAUAAUCUAGUUAUAUAAAUUACAUCCAAAUAAAGCAUUCCUUUUUUUGCAUAGACUUCCCUGUUUAACAUUUCUAAUAAAGACAAAAAAAUCAUACUUUUUUGGAUGAGUCAUUUUUCCCAUCUCUGGCUAUUAAAAGUGAACAGUUUUAAUUGGUUUUUUGCUCAAAUUGAGGCAAAAGGCUUUCAGGUUGGUGACACAGUUACAAAUUGCCCUUUGAAAGUUGAAUAACAAUUGGGAACUAUGGCCCUGAGAGAAGGUAAUGUCAACUGUACACCUCAGUUUUUCCUUUCAUUAUGCCUACAAGUCUGGCUUAUGAUUGCCUCUCAUCUAAUUAACCAAUUAGGCUUUUCACCUUUUUGUUGGGACACUCAAAUGUCCAAGGCUCUGCUUUAAUAGUACAUUCCAUCAUCAUAAAAAUGUGUGCAAUUCCCUACUUUCCAAAGAAGAUUGCAUUUCUUGAGAUUUAUGUGCUGUUUUCAAGUUCAGUAUUAAUGAUUUGGAUGUGGUCCCCUGCAGCUUUAAUCACUCACCACAAAUAAGAGGUGAAAUAUAAGCAUCAUUUAGCUUCUUCGUUGCGGUCUGCCUUAUUAGCAGGAGAGCAACACAACAGCGAGAGAGUUCUGCACUGAGCCUAAAGACUCAAUUUCCAUUCCAGCUCAAACGUUUACUGGUUCCAGGACCUUGAGGAAACCCUUUGACUCCCCAGAGGUUUUUCAGUUUUGAAAUGGGGCCAAUAAUCUGUGCCUGGACUACUUCAGAGGGUUGUUUUGAUGAUCAAAAUCAAAAUGAGAUAACACAAGUGAGAGCACUUUGGAAAUUCAUAAGUCUUAAAAGAGUCAAGAUCUCCUUCUUCCUGGUGUCAUGUUGUGGGUACAGUGUAUUCUCUGUGAUGGAUUGUUAGUUUGCCCUGGACUGUGUCCGCAGGUUUCAUUCCUGCUCCCAGCAAGCAGUUUCUCAAAUGUGUGCUGCUGGUUCCUACUUGAAGACUGAUGAGAAAUGAUGACAGCCCCAUAUCAACUCGCCAUGAUAAUCCUAACAUUUCUCUGCCACUGUAAAGAUGAGGAAACAAAGAUGCAGAUUCUUAUUGUCUUCUCAAGUACAUAGUGAGGAGCAGAACCUUUUCUUCUGGAAAACCAGAUUUAAAGAAAUAAGUACAUAGGCAACUCAAGGGCCUCAGACACAGACUGGAAUCUACACCAUCUGUGGACCUUUCCUGGGCCUCCAGCUUGCAGACAGCAGGUCUGCAAAAUCAGAUCAGCAGAUCUGUGGAACCACACAGCCUCUGCCAUCAUGUGAGCCAGUUCCUUAUAAUAAAUCUAUUUACAUGAAUGUAUAUAUCUUAUUGGUUCUGUUUCCCUAGAGAACCCUAAUACAAAGGAUUCCCUCUCAGAUAUGUAUAGAAAUUUAUUUUUAUGAGUUUCUAGCCAGGCAUUCAUGUGAUACCAAUUCUUGGCCAGUACUAAACUUUGACUCUUAAUGAUUAAACCACACUCUUUAGGGAGACCACAAUGUGGGGACACAUUAACAGAAGCCAAACACCACACAAGCAAUGAAACAAGAAGGACACACGUCAUCUGCUAAAAAUGUGUGUGUGUGUGUGUGUGUGUGUGUGUGUGUGUGUGUGUGUGUGUAACAUCAGGGAUCAACAAUGCAUGAGUUUGGGAAGACCAGAUGAUGAGACCCAGCUUACAAGGUAUUUUGUAUUUCUAAUUGUUAUAAAACCCGCCAGAUUCAAAGUAAGUGAGAAAUACAGAUAUAGAAAUGGCACUCAUAAAUGAAUUCAACUCCAAAGUGAAUAAAACUUAAGACUAUUUUAAAAUAAAAGUGCAAUUUUAUUUAAAUAAAAUAAAUGCUUUGAGUUAUUUUAAAAUAAAUAUUAGAAGAGCGAACCCAAAUGUUAACUAUGGACUUGGGUGAUAAUGAUGUGCACUGUAGGUUCAUAAAUAAUUGUAAGAUAUUUACCACUCUGGCACAGGAGGCGGAUGGUGGGGUAGUCUGGGUGUGUGUAGGGGGAAGGGAGUGGGAGGACAGAGGGCAUAUAGGAACUCUGUACUUUCUGCCCAGUUUAGCCCUGAACCUAAAACUGUCCUAAAAAUAGAGUGCUUUUUUAAAAAAAAGAAAAAUUAUUUUUUUAAAAGCACAUUUUCUGGAGUUGUGAUCUUCAGGAUUACUGCUAGCAAUUGCAUUUUACAAACAUGCAGAGGCCAGUGGCUUCCAAUCUCUGAGUAUAAUAUGUUGGUCUGGAGGAUAGACUCUGUUUACCUUUUGGAUCCAGACUUUGGUUCUGAAUGAACAUAUUUUAUAGAACAUGCAAAGGGCAGCCGAGCUCGAGGAAGCCUGCAGAGUUCUGCAGUGUGAAGGCACACUGAGCAGAGAUGGCAUUUCCAGUUUUCACAGAAGAUGCCACAGCUCUUGCAUAUACUGUAUCUCCUUCCAACUUAAGUUCCCAAAAGGUAAAAUCACCCUAAACAACCACUUUUAAAAGUCUAAAUCACUUUCCUAAAAACCAGAGGAAAUAAAAAUCACAGUUAAUAUAAAACCAACUACUAAUACUUCCUCUUCUACUACAUGACUGUGUGCAUAAAUAAAACUCUGCAGACAAUUCAAGGGAGCUUUAGAAAAUCCCAGGUAUCUACAGAGGUUAUUGUUCUCUUUGAUUUACCAAUAGGGAGAAUUUAAUUGGUGCAUUUAUUGUGUUUAUCACUGUAGUAACAUGAAUGAAAAUUUUCAGGUCUCUGUCUGGCUUAGAAGGAUCACUGCAAUGCGAUGCCACUGUCUUCCUUCAGGAUGCACCCAUGUGCUGAGGGAUGUGUGCAUUCACCCACUUAGGAGGCUAUAAUCAAAGCUGGCGGUCAGAGCUGGUGUUGGACCUUCCUACUGCCAAGUAUGAGUUGAUUAAUAGCGUGAAUUUUUACUCCGCCUUGUGGUCUUCUGAUUUUUCCCCACAUAUCAGAACCUUGAAUUUACAGUACGAUUAGUAGACUUUGAACAAAUAUUUUAACUGAAUGACUAAUUGAAUAAAUGAUUUAAUUAACACAAGGUGAGUUCAGGGACCAAAUAAUUUGGAUGAUUUACAAGGUUCAUGAAAGAACAGCAGAUAAGGCUGGACUGUGGAUUGGAGAUAGAGUGUAGGAUAUCCUGAAUGCCAGCUGAGGAGGUGGGAGGAGAGGAGCCUCCAGAGGUUUCUGAGUGGGGCGGGAGCACAAUCAAAGCAUGCUUAGUAUGACUGUGAUUAGAAGUCAUGAGUCAAAGUAAAUAUCUGAGAGACAUACCUAAAAAACAAUUUUCUCUUCUUAUUUUUCAUGUUGUUAAUGAAUUAUUUUUAAGUGGGUUUUAAGUUAACCUGAAAAGGUCUUGAAAUUUCAAUAAAAUUAAAACAUUCCAUUUCCCAGAGCUCAUGCAAAAGAAUAUUUCAUAAGUGAUGUAUUUCCAAGGAAAAGAACAUUGACAUACUCUGACUACAUGCUACCUAAAAUAAUAGAGGUUAUUGGUUAAAUAUAUUAAUAACGAGAAUCAUACUAAUAGUUAAUAAGCUUAUGUGUAGUUCUCCGACUUUUUUGAAAUAAUUUAAACAUGUGUUAAGACCUAACAUUUUUACUUAUUCUUUAAAGCUACAUACAGCUUUUUAAAAAUAGCUUUAUUAAAGAGAUAAUUAACAUAUCACAAAACUCAGCCAUUUAAGUGUACAAUUCAAUGGUUUUAGUAAAUUUGCAGAGUUGUACAACCAUCAACACAGUCUAAUUUUAGAAUAUUUUCAUCAACAAAAAGAAACCCCAUAUGCAUUAGCAGUCAAUUCUCACUCCACGCCCAUCCAUCCCCAGCCCUAGGUAACUUAAUCUUUCUGUGUCUAUAGAUUUUCUUAUGCUGGACAUUUCAUUAAAAUGGUAUCAUACAAUAUGUGGUCUUUUAUGACUAGUUUGUUUCACUUAGCAUAAU
This 4741-nucleotide long non-coding RNA is filed under the name Homo sapiens (human). RNAcentral's name for it is "HSALNT0366911". The record is from RNAcentral. Lineage: Eukaryota; Metazoa; Chordata; Mammalia; Primates; Hominidae.